CAAAGGAGCAAUCCGCUGAAAGAUGGGCUCGCGUCCGAUUAGGUAGUUGGUGAGGUAACGGCCCACCAAGCCGACGAUCGGUAGCCGGACUGAGAGGUUGGACGGCCACAUUGGGACUGAGACACGGCCCAGACUCCUACGGGAGGCAGCAGUAAGGGAUAUUGGUCAAUGGGGGAAACCCUGAACCAGCAACGCCGCGUGAGGGAAGACGGUUUUCGGAUUGUAAACCUCUGUCCUCUGUGAAGAUGAUGACGGUAGCAGAGGAGGAAGCUCCGGCUAACUACGUGCCAGCAGCCGCGGUAAUACGUAGGGAGCGAGCGUUGUCCGGAUUUACUGGGUGUAAAGGGUGCGUAGGCGGCUGUGCAAGUCAGUAGUGAAAUCCAUGGGCUUAACCCAUGAACUGCUAUUGAAACUGCACAGCUUGAGUGAAGUAGAGGUAGGCGGAAUUCCCGGUGUAGCGGUGAAAUGCGUAGAGAUCGGGAGGAACACCAGUGGCGAAGGCGGCCUACUGGGCUUUAACUGACGCUGAGGCACGAAAGCAUGGGUAGCAAACAGGAUUAGAUACCCUGGUAGUCCACGCUGUAAACGAUGAUUACUAGGUGUGGGGGGACUGAACCCUUCC
RNAcentral lists this ribosomal RNA (622 nucleotides) under uncultured bacterium. RNAcentral describes it as "bacterial SSU rRNA". It matches the Rfam family "Bacterial small subunit ribosomal RNA", at positions 202 to 842 of the family's 1533-position model. The record is from RNAcentral.